UUUGUGAGCAUUUGUGUGGACCAAUGUGUGUCCCCCAAGGCUGCAAAGCAUGAAUGGAGUCUGAGACAAGAUAAACCUUGAGAGAGCCUUCUAACCGUCUGGCAGCGGACAAAGACCAUCAGGAGAGCGGUCAGAAUGGAGCCAUUUGUCACAAUGCAGGCUGAUGAUCCACACCUGCUUUGCCUCAGCGAUCGAGCUCACCCGGUCCUCAUCACCGUCACCUCACAGUAGAUCUGCUCUGCGCUGAUCAUCAGUCCCUGCCAGAUCGUCUCUCUGCACACGGUUUCUACAAGCCAGCUUGCCACGCCAACCAAGUCCACCAGCAGUUCACCAUCCUGGAUCCCUGUUUCACCGGACUGUUUUCACCAUCACCAUCUCUGUUAACAAUAAAUAUUGUUUCUUCUGCCAGGUUCAGAGUCUGCUCCUUGGGUUCUGCUGCUAAACCUGACACCACUGGUCCUUCUUACCCACCCAUUAGACUGUGCAACUCUGCCCUGGGCUGAUACUCCCCCACAACCCACCCCUUCU
Myripristis murdjan (pinecone soldierfish) is the source of this 528-nucleotide long non-coding RNA. RefSeq lists it as uncharacterized. The transcript has 4 exons. NCBI's taxonomy places the organism in Eukaryota, Metazoa, Chordata, Actinopteri, Holocentriformes, Holocentridae. The record is from RefSeq and is a predicted model, not a curated record.